GGAGUCUAGCAUGUGCGCGAGUCAUUGGGACAUAACUAAACCUAAAGGCGCAAUGAAAGUGAAGGUCCGCCUCGCGCGGAUCGAGGGAAGAUGGGCGGUCCGCCUCAAAGCGGCCGCCUCGCAUUCCCGGGGCGUCUCGUUCUCAUCGCGAGAAGAGGCGCACCAAGAGCGUACACGCUGGGACCCGAAAGAUGGUGAACUAUGCCUGGUCAGGACGAAGUCAGGGGAAACCCUGAUGGAGGUCCGUAGCGAUUCUGACGUGCAAAUCGAUCGUCGGAACUGGGUAUAGGGGCGAAAGACUAAUCGAACCAUCUAGUAGCUGGUUCCCUCCGAAGUUUCCCUCAGGAUAGCUGGCGCUCGUCGCGCACGAGUCUCAUCCGGUAAAGCGAAUGAUUAGAGGCAUUGGGGUCGAAACGGCCUCAACCUAUUCUCAAACUUUAAAUGGGUGAGAUCUCCGGCUUGCUCGAACUACUGAAGCCGCGAGACACGGAUCAGAGUGCCAAGUGGGCCAUUUUUGGUAAGCAGAACUGGCGCUGUGGGAUGAACCAAACGCCGAGUUAAAGCGCCUAAAUCGACGCUUAUGGGACACCAUGAAAGGCGUUGGUAACUUAAGACAGCAGGACGGUGGCCAUGGAAGUC
Molecule: ribosomal RNA, 639 nt
Filed under: Amecomycter rugicollis
Lineage: Eukaryota; Metazoa; Arthropoda; Insecta; Coleoptera; Mauroniscidae
Description: eukaryotic LSU rRNA
Rfam family: Eukaryotic large subunit ribosomal RNA
Source: RNAcentral